Molecule: long non-coding RNA, 625 nt
Filed under: Medicago truncatula (barrel medic)
Lineage: Eukaryota; Viridiplantae; Streptophyta; Magnoliopsida; Fabales; Fabaceae
Description: lncRNA gene23092
Source: RNAcentral
AUGAUAUAUAAUUAUUUUUGUUUUAGCCGGUGUAAUAUGAGAGUGACUGUUUCACUGGACGGUGGCUGCCUUGAUUUUAUAUUGAAUAGUACAACUUCAUGAUCUUCACUUUGCACUUUAGCGGUGAUAGAUAGUGCUCAUUCAAAGAAAAAUAAAUUAUCUGAAUUUGAGUUUAUAUAUUCAAAUACGGUCCUUUUAGAAUCAAAAUUAAACUUUGAGGUUGAGUUUUUAAUUUGAUAUUGAUGGCAGCAUUGAUGACCUUUGUAUCGUCUAUGCAUACACUAUAACCUUAUAUUAGGGUAUUUGGUUAUGUUGGAUUUUGGAAUCUAGGUUAGACUUUAGAGGAGUGUGGUUUGUUAUACAGAUUUUCUUCAUGCUAUUCAAAUAUGGUCCUUUGAUUCAAAUGUAUGGACUAUGGUACUUUGAUUGCUGCUAUUAAGAUGCUGUUGCAUCAAGAUUGAGAGUGUGUUUUUCAAGAUUGAGAUGUUGCUUGUGUAUGUCAUAGGAGUGUCUCUUGUUAGAAGUUAGUUUGCCUCUUUUCUUUGCUUUGUUUCCUUUUCUAUCUCUUUUAAAUACUCUUUUGUUAUGAUAGCUAUAUAUUUUUAUAGUCUCUUUUUUUUUUUUU